RNAcentral lists this unclassified non-coding RNA (348 nucleotides) under soil metagenome. RNAcentral describes it as "partial contains 5.8S ribosomal RNA, internal transcribed spacer 2, and large subunit ribosomal RNA". The stretch from base 1 to 120 matches the Rfam family "5.8S ribosomal RNA", at positions 35 to 154 of the family's 154-position model. The record is from RNAcentral.
GAUGAAGAACGUAGCGAAAUGCGAUAAGUAAUGUGAAUUGCAGAAUUCAGUGAAUCAUCGAGUCUUUGAACGCACAUUGCGCCCCCUGGUAUUCCGGGGGGCAUGCCUGUCCGAGCGUCAUUGCUGCCCUCAAGCACGGCUUGUGUGUUGGGCCCCCGUCCCCGGUUUCCCCCGGGGACGGGCCCGAAAGGCAGCGGCGGCACCGCGUCCGGUCCUCGAGCGUAUGGGGCUUUGUCACCCGCUCUGUAGGCCCGGCCGGCGCCAGCCGACACCCAACUUUAUUUCUAAGGUUGACCUCGUAUCAGGUAGGGAUACCCGCUGAACUUAAGCAUAUCAAUAAGCGGAGGA